UGGGGAAUUUUGCACAAUGGGGGAAACCCUGAUGCAGCGACGCCGCGUGAUUUAGAAGGCCUUCGGGUUGUAAAAAUCUUUUUUACGGGAUGAAAAUGACAGUACCGUAAGAAUAAGGUCCGGCUAAAUACGUGCCAGCAGCCGCGGUAAUACGUAUGGACCGAGCGUUGUCCGGAAUCAUUGGGCGUAAAGGGUACGUAGGCGGCCUAAUAAGUUAGAAGUGAAAGAAUAUAGCUCAACUAUAUAAAGCUUUUAAAACUGUUUGGCUUGAGAGAUGAAAGGGAAAGUGGAAUUCCUAGUGUAGCGGUGAAAUGCGCAGAUAUUAGGAAGAAUACCGGUGGCGAAGGCGACUUUCUGGUCAUCAUCUGACGCUGAGGUACGAAAGCGUGGGUAGCAAACAGG
This 402-nucleotide ribosomal RNA is filed under the name bacterium. RNAcentral describes it as "partial 16S ribosomal RNA". It matches the Rfam family "Bacterial small subunit ribosomal RNA", at positions 355 to 776 of the family's 1533-position model. The record is from RNAcentral.